GGAUGAACGCUGGCGGCGUGCUUAACACAUGCAAGUCGAACGGUGAAGGCGGAGCUUGCUCUGCUGGAUCAGUGGCGAACGGGUGAGUAACACGUGAGCAAUCUGCCCCUGACUCUGGGAUAAGCGCUGGAAACGGCGUCUAAUACUGGAUACGAGCUGCGAAGGCAUCUUCAGCAGCUGGAAAGAAUUUCGGUCAGGGAUGAGCUCGCGGCCUAUCAGCUUGUUGGUGAGGUAAUGGCUCACCAAGGCGUCGACGGGUAGCCGGCCUGAGAGGGUGACCGGCCACACUGGGACUGAGACACGGCCCAGACUCCUACGGGAGGCAGCAGUGGGGAAUAUUGCACAAUGGGCGAAAGCCUGAUGCAGCAACGCCGCGUGAGGGACGACGGCCUUCGGGUUGUAAACCUCUUUUAGCAGGGAAGAAGCGAAAGUGACGGUACCUGCAGAAAAAGCGCCGGCUAACUACGUG
RNAcentral lists this ribosomal RNA (469 nucleotides) under uncultured bacterium. RNAcentral describes it as "partial 16S ribosomal RNA". It matches the Rfam family "Bacterial small subunit ribosomal RNA", at positions 27 to 507 of the family's 1533-position model. The record is from RNAcentral.